RNAcentral lists this ribosomal RNA (481 nucleotides) under uncultured bacterium. RNAcentral describes it as "partial 16S ribosomal RNA". It matches the Rfam family "Bacterial small subunit ribosomal RNA", at positions 28 to 507 of the family's 1533-position model. The record is from RNAcentral.
GAUGAACGCUGGCGGCGUGCUUAACACAUGCAAGUCGAACGAAGCACUUCAUUUGAUUUCCUUCGGGACUGAUUAUUUUGUGACUGAGUGGCGGACGGGUGAGUAACGCGUGGGUAACCUGCCUUGUACAGGGGGAUAACAGCUGGAAACGGCUGCUAAUACCGCAUAAGCGCACGGCAUCGCUUGAUGCAGUGUGAACAACUCCGGUGGUAUAAGAUGGACCCGCGUUGGAUUAGCUAGUUGGUGAGGUAACGGCCCACCAAGGCGACGAUACAUAGCCGACCUGAGAGAGUGACCGGCCACAUUGGAACUGAGACGCGGCCCAAACUCCUACGGGAGGCAGCAGUGGGGAAUAUUGCAAAAUGGGCGAAAGCCUGAAGCAGCGACGCCGCGUGAGUGAAGAAGUAUGUCGGUAUGUAAAGCUCGAUCAGCAGGGAAGAUGAUGACGGUACCGGACUAAUAAGCACCGGCUAAAUACGUG